RNAcentral lists this ribosomal RNA (440 nucleotides) under uncultured bacterium. RNAcentral's name for it is "partial 16S ribosomal RNA". It matches the Rfam family "Bacterial small subunit ribosomal RNA", at positions 338 to 795 of the family's 1533-position model. The record is from RNAcentral.
CCUACGGGCGGCAGCAGUAGGGAAUAUUGCUCAAUGGGGGAAACCCUGAAGCAGCAACGCCGCGUGGAGGAUGAAGGUUUUCGGAUUGUAAACUCCUUUUGUUAGAGAAGAUAAUGACGGUAUCUAACGAAUAAGCACCGGCUAACGCCGUGCCAGCAGCCGCGGUAAUACGGAGGGUGCAAGGGUUACUCGGAAUCACUGGGCGUAAAGAGCGCGUAGGCGGGAUAGCAAGUCAGAUGUGAAAUCCUAUGGCUUAACCAUAGAACUGCAUUUGAAACUGGUAUUCUAGAGUAUGGGAGAGGUAGGUAGAAUUCUUGGUGUAGGGGUAAAAUGCGUAGAGAUCAAGAGGAAUACUCAUUGCGAAGGCGACCUGCUAGAACAUAACUGACGCUGAUGCGCGAAAGCGUGGGGAGCAAACAGGAUUAGAUACCCGAGUAGUC